AGCGUAGACGGAUGGGCAAGUCUGAUGUGAAAGGCUGGGGCUCAACCCCGGGACUGCAUUGGAAACUGCCCGUCUUGAGUGCCGGAGAGGUAAGCGGAAUUCCUAGUGUAGCGGUGAAAUGCGUAGAUAUUAGGAGGAACACCAGUGGCGAAGGCGGCUUACUGGACGGUAACUGACGUUGAGGCUCGAAAGCGUGGGGAAGCAAACA
RNAcentral lists this ribosomal RNA (208 nucleotides) under uncultured bacterium. RNAcentral describes it as "partial 16S ribosomal RNA". It matches the Rfam family "Bacterial small subunit ribosomal RNA", at positions 568 to 774 of the family's 1533-position model. The record is from RNAcentral.